RNAcentral lists this ribosomal RNA (445 nucleotides) under uncultured bacterium. RNAcentral describes it as "partial 16S ribosomal RNA". It matches the Rfam family "Bacterial small subunit ribosomal RNA", at positions 331 to 793 of the family's 1533-position model. The record is from RNAcentral.
CCAGACUCCUACGGGAGGCAGCAGUGGGGAAUAUUGCACAAUGGGGGGAACCCUGAUGCAGCGACGCCGCGUGGGUGAAGAAGUCAUUCGUGACGUAAAGCCCUAUCAGCAGGGAAGAAAAUGACGGUACCUGACUAAGAAGCCCCGGCUAACUACGUGCCAGCAGCCGCGGUAAUACGUAGGGAGCAAGCGUUGUCCGGAAUUACUGGGCGUAAAGGGCGCGUAGGUGGGCGCUUAAGUCAGGUGUGAAAACUCCGGGCUCAACCUGGAGACUGCACUUGAAACUGGGUGUCUUGAGGGCAGGAGAGGAAAGUGGAAUUCCUAGUGUAGCGGUGAAAUGCGUAGAGAUUAGGAAGAACACCAGUGGCGAAGGCGAUUCUCUGGACUGUAACUGACGCUGAGGCUCGAAAGCGUGGGGAGCAAACAGGAUUAGAUACCCCAGUAA